AUACCCGCGCCCCAAGUGGUGGUCGAUAUUAUUGAGCCUAAAACGUCCGUAGCCGGUCUUCUAAAUCCUUGGGUAAAUCGGGCAGCUUCACUGUCCGAAGUCCGGGGAGACUGGGAGACUUGGGACCGGGAGAGGUCAGAGGUACUUCUGGGGUAGGGGUAAAAUCCUGUAAUCCUGGAAGGACCACCGGUGGCGAAGGCGUCUGACUAGAACGGAUCCGACGGUGAGGGACGAAGCCCUGGGGCGCAAACGGGAUUAGAUACCCCGGUAGUCCAGGGUGUAAACGCUGCGGGCUUGGUGUUGGGGGUCCUUAGUGGGCGCCCAGUGCCGGAGAGAAGUUGUUAAGCCUGCUGCUUGGGGAGUAUGUCCGCAAGGAUGAAACUUAAAGGAAUUGACGGG
Molecule: ribosomal RNA, 399 nt
Filed under: uncultured bacterium
Lineage: Bacteria
Description: partial 16S ribosomal RNA
Rfam family: Archaeal small subunit ribosomal RNA
Source: RNAcentral